GCCAGCAUGGCUCAGUGGUUGAGCGUUGACCUAUAAAUCAGGAGAUCAAGGUUCAAUUCCUGGUCAGGGCA
RNAcentral lists this transfer RNA (71 nucleotides) under Myotis myotis. It matches the Rfam family "tRNA". Rfam says of the family: Transfer RNA (tRNA) molecules are approximately 80 nucleotides in length. Their secondary structure includes four short double-helical elements and three loops (D, anti-codon, and T loops). The record is from Rfam by way of RNAcentral. RNAcentral also lists the same sequence under 1 other name. Lineage: Eukaryota; Metazoa; Chordata; Mammalia; Chiroptera; Vespertilionidae.